Long non-coding RNA from Canis lupus familiaris (dog), 979 nucleotides. RefSeq lists it as uncharacterized. Lineage: Eukaryota; Metazoa; Chordata; Mammalia; Carnivora; Canidae. The record is from RefSeq and is a predicted model, not a curated record. The transcript has 3 exons.
CUGUUGGAUUCUAUUCUGUAUGCUGCUGCCAGGAGCUCUUCCAUCAUAGGGCUGCUCAGCUCAUGAACUUAAAGUGGCUUCCUAUUGCUUCAAAUCCAAUAUUCCCAUAGCCAGGAUCUCUGUGAACUCCAACGACUCUUUCUUGGCUUCACAAGCUCUUCCACUCUAGCAAGUGCCUACUAGAUACUGGAUACGUGUUUGAUGACCUACUGCGUCUGACACGGACAACCUACAUGCCAAGACUAAAGAGGGUCCAAUGUUAUGCCUUCUGUCUGAUGAGGAAUACAGUUGGUCUGUCUGGACUUGACACUUUCCUACCCAUACACAACCCCCAGGUGGACGCUGGGAGAGGAAAGGAAAGAUAAAGAGUCACAGGUAGAAAGAGGGCAGAGCUACAACUUCCCCAUGGCUCCCACUGGUUCCCUGGAUGAUUGAAGGGCACUGCUUUCUGGCCUCAUCUGUCUGGAGGGGGAAGGGAGGAAGCUCUCAGGCAAUGGCCAUUCUUCCCUCUUCCUGGGGAAUCACCUCAGGGGAUACACCCCCCAUCAUGGGACCUACCCACGGCCCCAUCACUGCUGCUCUAUGGAUCAAAACGGAAGUGUCAGAGGCCUUGGAGCAGGUUUCCUAGCUCUGACCUGUGCAAGAUUGAGAGAAAAAGAAGGAAAUUAACCAGGCAUUGAUGUUCUGCUAUUGAAUAGAUAGUCUGCUAAGGGGUUUGCAUAUUUUGGCCACAGCCUUGUGAAGUGGCUAUUCUUACUUUUUCAUUGGUAAAGAGAUAAUCUAAGCUCAGAGUUUAAUCAGCGUGGUUAAAUCACACAGCUAGUAAGAAAUAGAGCUAUAAUUAAACUAAAUAUAAGGACUGGAAUCGUGGAGUGCCUGGGUGGCUCAAUCGGUGAGUCAACCCACCGACUCUUGGUUUUGGCUCAGGUCACCAUCUCAUGGAGGGUGGGAUUGAGCCCCACAUCAGGCUUCAUGGUCA